Molecule: long non-coding RNA, 6909 nt
Filed under: Medicago truncatula (barrel medic)
Lineage: Eukaryota; Viridiplantae; Streptophyta; Magnoliopsida; Fabales; Fabaceae
Description: long non-coding RNA (MTRU_LNC003022)
Rfam family: MIR2617 microRNA precursor family (bases 906-991)
Source: RNAcentral
GAUUGAUGAUGAUGAAUGCAUUGUAUGUUUAAUUGUUAAUCAUACAUGUUAGUUAAGUGGAGUCACAUGGAGUUGCAUUGCAUGGUCAGUUGUAUGUAGAUAUACACAAGUAGGUCCAUUGCAUAUGCAUAAAAACAGCGGUGAGGGCUUCGGUCCUGGAGUACUAGUUGCUCAACAGCGGUGAGGGCUUCGGUCCUGAUGAAUGCUUUAACCAUUCAAAAGCGGUGAGGGCCUCGGUCCUGAUUGGUACCGCAUGCAUAAUUGCAUCUCAUUCAGAAGUCUAAGAUGGUGUCUUAGCAGUGGUCAUGUCAUUUGCAUGAGUCUUGAUGUAAUGAUGAUGUUGAUGUUUGAUAUACAUUCUUAUAUGUGUGUAUUCAUUGUGGUCUUGGUGUAUUGUUGAUGCUGAUGAUAUUAUAUACAUUGUAUACUACUUGUUAAGUGGAUGAUUAUGAUGGUAUUGUUGUGAUUGUGAAUAAUUAUAAUAUUUGCAAGUGAACAUGUUGAAGUUAUAGGGUGUUAGAUUCAUUUGAUGAUUUUAAUAUCUAUAUUUAUUGUUGUGAAUCUCACCCCUUCUGCUUGAAAAUGUUGCCCUUCCUAUGGGUAACUUGCAGGUGAUCCUGAGUAGUCGGUGGUGGCUCAAGAGUCGUGUCUAGGGCUCUGAUACGUGGGUUGGGAGUCAUUUUAUUAUUUCAUUGUUGUUUUCCCUUCCAUGUAUCAAAUUUUGGAACUCGCUGAUGUGCCCUUUCAUUGGCUAACUUUUGUUGUUUAGGCUUAAUGCCAAGAUGUUGUUGGAGAUUAAAAUAUUGUUGUUGCUAUUGAAAAUGCAAAACUUUCCGCUGCAUUAAUUUGAAGUUAAGACUGUUGUUGAAUUAAAUAGUUUUAUUUUCUAUUUAAGAAUUUCGAUGUUGCGAUGUAGCAUGCCCGUUUGGUGUAAUACUCUGAUGUUUAUAUGCUAUUUUAUUCCUUUUGGGUAACGGGGUGUUACAAUUUGGUAUCAGAGCAGGUUGGUCCGUCCGGCCGAGUAGUAGAGUCUUGUUGAGCCACCUAGGAUAGAGUGUCAACUUUGUUGUUGCUUUUUGUUGUUGUUCUGAGUUGUUGUUUGUCGUGUAGAACCUCGAGAUGACUGGAAGUAGUGAUGCUGCUCUUGUUGCUGCGCUUGAGGCUGUAGCUCAAGCUGUUCAACAGCAACCUAAGGCUGAAACUGGUGGUGAUGGAACCAGGAUGCUUGAGACUUUCCUGAGGAAUCAUCCACCAACUUUCAAGGGUAGGUAUGAUCCUGACGGUGCACAGAAGUGGCUGAAGGAAAUUGAAAGGAUUUUCAGGGUCAUGCAGUGUUCCGAGGUUCAAAAGGUGCGGUUUGGGACGCACAUGCUAGCUGAGGAGGCUGAUGAUUGGUGGGUGAGUUUGCUGCCUGUGUUGGAACAGGGUGAUGUUGUGGUUACCUGGACCAUGUUCAGGAAGGAGUUCCUAGGCAGGUAUUUUCCAGAAGAUGUCAGAGGUAAGAAGGAGAUUGAAUUUCUGGAGUUGAAACAGGGUGACAUGUCUGUCACAGAGUAUGCUGCAAAGUUUGUGGAGCUUGCCACAUUCUACCCUCAUUACAGUGCGGAGACAGCUGAGUUCUCCAAGUGUAUCAAGUUUGAGAAUGGGUUGAGGGCUGACAUCAAAAGGGCUAUUGGGUAUCAGCAGAUCAGAGUCUUCUCUGAGUUGGUUAAUAGGUGCAGAAUCUAUGAAGAAGACACCAAAGCUCAUUAUAAGAUUAUGAGUGAGAGGAGGGGUAAGGGACAACAGAAUCGUCCUAAGCCUUACAGUGCUCCUACUGACAAAGGAAAGCAGAGGAUGGGUGAUGAUAGGAGGCCCAAGAGGAGAGAUGCUCCAGCUGAGAUUGUUUGUUACAAGUGUGGUGAGAAAGGCCACAAGAGUAAUGUCUGUGGGAGAGAUGAUAGGAAGUGCUUCAGGUGUGGUCAGAAGGGUCACAGUUUGGCUGAAUGCAAGCGUGGGGACAUUGUCUGUUACAACUGCAAUGGGGAAGGUCAUAUUAGUUCACAGUGUCCUGAGCCGAGGAAGACUAGAAUUGGUGGGAAAGUGUUUGCUUUGACUGGUACGCAGACUCCUAAUGAGGACCGACUUAUCAGAGGUACUUGUUUCUUUAAUAGUACUCCUUUAAUUGCUAUUAUUGAUACUGGUGCUACUCAUUGUUUUAUUGCUAUUGAAUGUGCAUAUAAGUUGGGUUUAGAUGUGUCUGAUAUGAAAGGGGAAAUGGUUGUUGAAACUCCAGCUAAGGGUUCAGUAACCACUUCUCUUGUUUGUCUGCGGUGUCCUAUAUCUAUGUUUGGUAGAGAUUUUGUGAUUGAUUUAGUUUGUCUUCCGUUGACGGGUAUGGAUGUUAUCUUUGGUAUGAAUUGGUUAGAAUAUAAUCGGGUUCAUAUCAACUGCUUUAGUAAGACGGUACAUUUCUCUUCUGUUGAAGAAGAAGGUGAGGUUGAGCUUCUGUCUACGAAACAGAUGAAACAGUUUGAACGUGAUGGUAUCCUGAUGUAUUCUUUAAUGGCACAAUUGUCGUUAGAAAAUCAAGCUGUGGUUGAUGGUUUACCUGUAGUGAAUGAAUUUCCAGAAGUAUUCCCUGAUGAGAUUCCUGAUGUGCCACCAGAGAGGGAGGUUGAGUUCUCAAUUGAUCUUGUUCCAGGAACUAAGCCGGUGUCGAUGGCACCGUACCGUAUGUCAGCUUCUGAGUUGGCUGAGUUGAAGAAACAGUUGGAGGACCUAUUAGAUAAGAAGUUUGUAAGACCCAGUGUUUCACCUUGGGGAGCACCGGUGUUGUUGGUAAAGAAGAAGGAUGGUAGUAUGAGACUUUGCAUAGAUUACCGUCAGUUGAACAAAGUUACGAUCAAGAACAGGUAUCCGCUUCCUAGAAUUGACGACUUGAUGGAUCAGUUGGUUGGUGCCAAGAUUUUCAGUAAGAUUGAUUUGAGGUCUGGUUAUCAUCAGAUAAAGGUAAAGGAUGAGGAUAUGCAGAAGACGGCCUUUAGGACACGUUAUGGUCAUUACGAGUACAAAGUGAUGCCUUUCGGUGUUACUAAUGCGCCUGGUGUUUUUAUGGAGUACAUGAACCGAAUUUUCCAUGCUUUUCUGGAUAAGUUUGUGGUGGUAUUUAUUGAUGAUAUCUUAAUUUAUUCCAAGAAUGAGGAGGAACACGCAGAGCAUCUGAGAAUAGUGUUGCAAGUGUUGAAGGAAAAGAGGUUGUAUGCUAAGUUGUCAAAAUGUGAGUUCUGGUUAAAUGAAGUAAGUUUCCUGGGUCACAUUAUUUCUGGUAGUGGUAUUGCAGUGGAUCCUUCAAAGGUUGAUGCGGUAUCACAAUGGGAGACUCCGAAGUCGGUAACUGAGAUUAGAAGUUUUCUGGGUUUGGCUGGUUAUUACCGCAGGUUCAUAGAAGGGUUUUCGAAGUUGGCUCUUCCGUUGACACAGUUGACCUGUAAGGGUAAGUCUUUUGUGUGGGAUGCUCAGUGUGAGAGUAGUUUCAAUGAAUUGAAGCGAAGAUUGACAACUGCUCCUGUUUUGAUUUUGCCUAAACCAGAAGAACCGUUUGUUGUGUAUUGUGAUGCAUCUAAGCUGGGCUUAGGUGGUGUUCUGAUGCAAGAUGGUAGGGUGGUAGCGUAUGCUUCUAGGCAGUUGCGUAUUCAUGAGAAGAAUUAUCCUACACAUGACCUGGAGUUAGCUGCAGUGGUGUUUGUUUUGAAAAUUUGGAGGCAUUAUUUGUACGGUUCCAGAUUUGAGGUGUUCAGUGAUCAUAAAAGUUUGAAGUAUUUAUUUGACCAGAAGGAACUGAACAUGAGGCAGAGGAGGUGGUUAGAGUUACUGAAGGAUUUUGAUUUUGGCUUGAAUUACCAUCCUGGUAAGGCCAAUGUGGUUGCUGAUGCUUUGAGUAGGAAAACGUUGCACAUGUCUGCUUUGAUGGUGAAAGAGUUUGAGUUGUUAGAACAGUUCAGAGAUAUGAGUCUUGUCUGUGAAUUGUCACCCCAGAGUAUACAGUUGGGAAUGUUGAAAAUUGAUAGUGAUUUCUUGAACAGUAUCCGAGAAGCUCAGAAAGAAGAUUUGAAAUUUGUUGAUUUGAUGACUUCUGGUAAUGACACUGAGGAUAGUGAUUUCAAAGUUGAUGAUCAGGGGGUGCUGAGGUUCAGAGGUAGAGUUUGUAUUCCUGACAAUGAAGAGUUGAAGAAGUUGAUUCUUGAGGAGAGUCACAAGAGUAGGUUGAGUAUUCACCCGGGGGCUACAAAAAUGUAUCAUGAUUUGAAGAAACUGUUUUGGUGGUCCGGUUUGAAAAGAGAUGUUGCUCAGUUUGUUUAUGCCUGUUUGAUUUGUCAGAAGUCCAAGGUUGAGCAUCAGAAGCCUGCAGGGUUGUUGACACCGUUAGAUGUACCGGAGUGGAAGUGGGACAGUAUCUCCAUGGAUUUUGUAACGAGUUUACCGAACACUUCGAAAGGACAUGAUGCCAUUUGGGUAGUUGUCGACCGGUUGACGAAGUCGGCACAUUUCAUUCCUAUUAAUAUCAGUUAUCCGGUAGCGCAGUUAGCAGAGAUUUAUAUUCACAGUGUGGUGAAGCUUCAUGGUGUUCCGUCUAGCAUUGUGUCAGAUAGAGAUCCGAGGUUCACUUCUAGGUUCUGGAAAAGUUUACAGGACGCUUUGGGUUCAAAGUUGAAGUUGAGUUCGGCUUAUCAUCCUCAAACAGAUGGUCAGUCGGAGAGGACAAUUCAAUCAUUGGAAGAUUUGUUGAGAGUGUGUGUGCUUGAGCAAGGUGGAGCUUGGGAUAGUCACUUGCCUUUGAUUGAGUUUACUUAUAACAACAGCUAUCACUCGAGUAUUGGUAUGGCACCGUUCGAAGCCUUGUAUGGCCGGAGGUGUAGGACUCCUUUAUGCUGGUUUGAGUCGGGUGAAAGUGUUGUGUUGGGACCGGAUUUGGUGCAUGAGACUACUGAGAAAGUCAGGUUGAUAAGAGAAAAGAUGAAAGCUUCGCAGAGUCGACAGAAGAGUUACCAUGACAAGCGAAGAAAGGAUCUUGAGUUUCAGGAGGGUGAUCAUGUUUUUCUGAGGGUCACUCCUUUGACGGGUGUUGGACGUGCUUUGAAGUCGAGAAAGUUGACUCCUAAGUUUAUUGGUCCGUAUCAGAUUUCAGAGAGAAUUGGUACAGUGGCAUAUAGAGUUGGUUUGCCACCACAUCUUUCGAACUUGCACGAUGUGUUUCAUGUUUCUCAGCUUCGGAAGUAUGUUGCGGAUCCUUCUCAUGUGAUUCCGAGAGAUGAUGAUGUGCAGGUUAGGGACAACUUGACUGUUGAGACUGUGCCGUUGAGGAUUGAUGACAGGAAGGUGAAGUCCUUGAGGGGUAAAGAGAUACCUCUUGUGAGAGUCGUUUGGGGUGGAGCGACUGGUGAAAGUUUGACUUGGGAGCUGGAGAGUAAGAUGCGGGAGUCGUAUCCGGAGUUGUUUGCUUGAGGUAAGAUUUCGAGGACGAAAUUCUGUGAUUUGGGGAGAGUUGUAACGCCCUAGUUAUUUAAUUAAUUUUAUUAUGUGGAGUAUAUAUAUAUAUAUAUAUAUGUAUUAUUAUGUAUGAUGUUUGGUGAUUUAUGUGGAGUUUAUGCAUAUAUUUAUAUAUAUGUGAUUUUUGGAUGUUUUAUGUGGUACAUUAUUUUACCAUAUGGUUUAUUUAAUAAUAAUUAAAAAUAAGUAUGAAAUAUUAAUUAUUUUGGUGUUUGGGGAAUUAAUUGGAGUUAUUAGGAAUUUGGAGGAGUUAAGUGCAAUUAGGAGGGAGUUACUCUUAAGUGGGAAGUUAAGAAAAUAGGAAGUGAGAGUCAGAAACAGUUUUACGUGAAACCAAGCCAAGGAAGAGAAAACCAGGAGCAAGAGAGAAGAACCAGAGGAACCCUUUUUGCUGUGCAUUUUUCAUUCUGAACUAAGGUAAGGGUGGGGUUUACUUCAAUAGUGUAGAAAUUAAAGUCUGAUUUUGAGUUUAACAGGUUUUGGUGGAAAUUGGGGAUUUUGGGUUUUAUGAUGAAAUUGUAGUUUUUGAUGUUGUAAUCAUGAAUUGAUGUUAGAAAUAGGUUCCAGUUGCAUACAGGAAGUUAAUUUACAUCUGUAAACUGAUUUGGGGAGUGAUUGGAAGAAAAAUGGGAUUUUGGGGAAAAACCAGUUUUCUGGCCGUACUGACGUUCAUCGCUCGCCUCGCGAGCAUUCAUGUCUCGCCUCGCGAGUGAGCAAUGUCACUACUCGCCUCGCGAGCAGUCCAACUCGCCAUGGCGAGUAAGCCCAAACAAAAUGUGAUUUUUGAAAAGUUGUUAUAAGAUGUUUUGGGAGUGGUUUAAGGUACCUAGAUGAUUUUAAAGAUGAAUGGUGGAAGUUUUAGGUUAAAAAGAUGAAUAGGGAACUUAGAAUUGGAGUUUGAGUGGGAAAAUGUCACUUUUUCCCGAGAGCAUCUGUUUUUCACUCGCCUCGAGUUCGCCUUGAACUCGCCAUGGCGAGCUAGUGUUUUUAUGAACUCGCCAUGGCGAGCAGAUGUGCUCGCGAGGCGAGCUACUCAGUUCCUGAGUGUUGUUUUCGUGCAUGAGUGGUAGUAUCAUGAUGUUGUUGGAUUUAAGCAUAGUUAUAUAAUCAUGCACUAUUUGAUUGAUUGAAUUGCUGGACUUGAUGCUGAUUGAUGAUGAUGAAUGCAUUGUAUGUUUAAUUGUUAAUCAUACAUGUUAGUUAAGUGGAGUCACAUGGAGUUGCAUUGCAUGGUCAGUUGUAUGUAGAUAUACACAAGUAGGUCCAUUGCAUAUGCAUAAAAACAGCGGUGAGGGCUUCGGUCCUGGAGUACUAGUUGCUCAACAGCGGUGAGGGCUUCGGUCCUGAUGAAUGCUUUAACCAUUCAAAAGCGGUGAGGGC